CAAAUUGCAUAUAACGAUCCUGUGAACUGGUCUUUAGGUCUAAAACCCUUUGAAAUUAUUCUUGGUUGUGAACCUUUGAAACCUCUAGACCUUAUUCUCAUGCACCCACAUGCUUGUGUGUCUAUGUCAGUUGAGGUAGUUGUAUCACAUUUUCAUAGCUUGCAUAUUGAGAUCAAUAAACAAUUUGAAGCAAGUAAAGCAUUAUAUAAACCUCAAGUUGAUUGGCAUAAACAAUACUUUGAAUUUAAUAUUGGGGAUUAUGUUAUAUUGCAAGCGUGUAAUGCUGGUCUUUUUAAAAUUUCAAAGCAUGUUGGUCAAAAUGCCUAUGUCAAUGACCUUUUAUCACAUUAUGACCACCACCCUAUUUUAUUUGUUACGGACUUCGAUGCUUACAACGGCUAUUUUAGCCCCUCUGAUGACCCAUUUCUACUCCCACAUGAGAAUUCCCACACUGAAUGUUUUGCCAUGUCUGCUUCAAUCCCACCUAUCACAGCACACAAAAAUAAAAUUGAUGUUAUUUUGGAUGAACAGCUUGUGUUGACCAAUAAUAGAGAGAUUCAGUGCUUUCUUGUUCGUUGGAUGGAUCGACUUGAUUCUGACGGUACAUGGAUUCCCAAAGAGAGACUUCAGCGGCGUGAGCCAAAUUUAUUGGAGCUUUAUAAGAGUCAGCAAAAUUCUCACUCGCCUAAGUUAUCUUGGUCAGCUCAUGUUUUUGCGAGUAAUUUGCAAUUGGCAUUGUCAUCAUUUGUGGAAUUUCGAUAUUUGGUUCGUCAGAAAGAUCGUCCCCCAUGGCAUGACUUGGAGCCUUUAGCAUCAGAUUCAUUGCAACAUUUUGAUUUAUCCACUCGACGGGGUCGAGUUUUUCUCCCACCCCGGGAGAGUUGAUGCGGACAUCCACUUACUAUUUAUUUUCUUUUUGGACUAUUAG
This 928-nucleotide long non-coding RNA is filed under the name Olea europaea subsp. europaea. The record is from RNAcentral. Lineage: Eukaryota; Viridiplantae; Streptophyta; Magnoliopsida; Lamiales; Oleaceae.